RNAcentral lists this ribosomal RNA (433 nucleotides) under uncultured bacterium. RNAcentral's name for it is "partial 16S ribosomal RNA". It matches the Rfam family "Bacterial small subunit ribosomal RNA", at positions 29 to 507 of the family's 1533-position model. The record is from RNAcentral.
AACGAACGCUGGCGGCAUGCCUAACACAUGCAAGUCGAACGAGACCUUCGGGUCUAGUGGCGCACGGGUGCGUAACGCGUGGGAACCUGCCCUUAGGUUCGGAAUAACUCCCCGAAAGGGGUGCUAAUACCGGAUAAUGUCUUCGGACCAAAGAUUUAUCGCCUUUGGAUGGGCCCGCGUUGGAUUAGCUAGUUGGUAGGGUAAAAGCCUACCAAGGCGACGAUCCAUAGCUGGUCUGAGAGGAUGAUCAGCCACACUGGGACUGAGACACGGCCCAGACUCCUACGGGAAGCAGAAGUGGGGAAUAUUGGACAAUGGGCGAAAGCCUGAUCCAGCAAUGCCGCGUGAGUGAUGAAGGCCUUAGGGUUGUAAAGCUCUUUUACCCGGGAUGAUAAUGACAGUACCGGGAGAAUAAGCUCCGGCUAACUCCGUG